Molecule: ribosomal RNA, 440 nt
Filed under: uncultured bacterium
Lineage: Bacteria
Description: partial 16S ribosomal RNA
Rfam family: Bacterial small subunit ribosomal RNA
Source: RNAcentral
CCUACGGGUGGCAGCAGUGGGGGAUAUUGCACAAUGGGGGAAACCCUGAUGCAGCGACGCCGCGUGUGGGAAGACGGUCCUCUGGAUUGUAAACCACUGUUCUAAGGGACGAAGAUGAUGGUACGUGGGGAGGAAGCUUCGGCUAACUACGUGCCAGCCGCCGCGGUAAGACGUAGGGAGCAAGCGUUGUCCGGAAUUACUGGGUGUAAAGGGAGCGUAGGAGGGAUGGCAAGGUGGGUGUAAAUUCUACCGGCUAAACUGGUAGUCGCACUCAAAACUGCUAUUCUUGAGUGAAGUAGAGGCAGGCGGAAUUCCUAGUGUAGCGGUGAAAUGCGUAGAUAUUAGGAGGAACACCAGUGGCGAAGGCGGCCUGCUGGACUUUUACUGACGCUGAGGCUCGAAAGUGUGGGGAGCAAACAGGAUUAGAUACCCGGGUAGUC